UACGGGGGGGGCAAGCGUUGUUCGGAAUUACUGGGCGUAAAGGGCUCGUAGGCGGCCAACUAAGUCAGACGUGAAAUCCCCAGGCUCAACCUGGGAACUGCGUCUGAUACUGGAUGGCUUGAAUCCGGGAGAGGGAUGCAGAAUUCCAGGUGUAGCGGUGAAAUGCGUAGAUAUCUGGAGGAAUACCGGUGGCGAAGGCGGCAUCCUGGACCGGCAUUGACGCUGAGGCGCGAAAGCUAGGGGAGCGAACGGG
RNAcentral lists this ribosomal RNA (253 nucleotides) under uncultured bacterium. RNAcentral describes it as "partial 16S ribosomal RNA". It matches the Rfam family "Bacterial small subunit ribosomal RNA", at positions 524 to 776 of the family's 1533-position model. The record is from RNAcentral.